This 232-nucleotide long non-coding RNA is filed under the name Mytilus galloprovincialis (Mediterranean mussel). The record is from RNAcentral. Lineage: Eukaryota; Metazoa; Mollusca; Bivalvia; Mytilida; Mytilidae.
UUUAGGCAGCAACCAUUUGAUUUUCUGGGGGGGGCUAUGGUUUUUUUUUCUGGUCAAAUUUUUUUUUUCGCCUAUGGCGAAAAACAAUCUAUUUUUUUCGCGACAAGUCGAAAACAAUUUUUUUCUUUCAAUUUUAGCAUUACAUAUAGUGGCAGCUAAGGGUGAAACAAACAAUUUUUUUUUCUCAGAAUCAAAAACAAAUUAUUUUUUUCUCCAAAAACUGGAAACAAAC